CGGGGCGUAGCACAGCCUGGUAGUGCGCUCGCUUUGGGAGCGAGAGGUCGCAAGUUCGAAUCAUGCCGCCCCGACCA
Molecule: transfer RNA, 77 nt
Filed under: Sneathiella sp.
Lineage: Bacteria; Pseudomonadati; Pseudomonadota; Alphaproteobacteria; Sneathiellales; Sneathiellaceae
Description: tRNA-Pro
Rfam family: tRNA
About the family: Transfer RNA (tRNA) molecules are approximately 80 nucleotides in length.
Source: RNAcentral